This 338-nucleotide ribosomal RNA is filed under the name Cercosaurini sp. 2 OTC-2016. Its description in RNAcentral is "partial 12S ribosomal RNA". It matches the Rfam family "Bacterial small subunit ribosomal RNA", at positions 867 to 1366 of the family's 1533-position model. The record is from RNAcentral. Lineage: Eukaryota; Metazoa; Chordata; Lepidosauria; Squamata; Gymnophthalmidae.
CUCCGCCAGAAAAUUACGAGCGAAAGCCUAAAACUCAAAAGACUUGACGGUGUCCCAACCUUCCUAGAGGAGCCUGUUCCAUAAUCGACAACCCACGAUAUACCUAACCACCCUUAGAUUUUUACUCAGCCUAUAUACCGCCGUCGUACAGCCUACCUUUUAAAAGGACACAAGUAGGCCGAAUAGUAAUAUACUAACAAGUCAGGUCAAGGUGUAGCUUAUACGGUGGAGAAAAUGGGCUACAUUGUUUAUUUUAAACUACACGGACUUUAAACACCCCCUGAAAAAGAAAAUAAAGGCGGAUUUAGCAGUAAUUUAAACAAGAAUAUUUAAAUUAA